UGGGGAAUCUUGCGCAAUGGGCGAAAGCCUGACGCAGCAACGCCGCGUGUGUGAUGAAGGUCUUCGGAUCGUAAAGCACUGUCGCGAGGGACGAAUAAGCCUUUGGCUAACAUCCAGGGGCGAUGACGGUACCUCGAGAGGAAGCACCGGCUAACUCUGUGCCAGCAGCCGCGGUAAUACAGAGGGUGCGAGCGUUGUUCGGAAUUAUUGGGCGUAAAGCGCGUGUAGGCGGCUUGGCAAGUCGGAUGUGAAAGCCCUCGGCUUAACCGAGGAAGUGCGUUCGAAACUGCCUGGCUUGAGUACCGGAGAGGGUGGCGGAAUUCCCGGUGUAGAGGUGAAAUUCGUAGAUAUCGGGAGGAACACCAGCGGCGUAGGCGGCCACCUGGACGGAUACUGACGCUGAGACGCGAAAGCGUGGGGAGCAAACAGG
Molecule: ribosomal RNA, 430 nt
Filed under: Fusobacteriota bacterium
Lineage: Bacteria; Fusobacteriati; Fusobacteriota
Description: Fusobacteria bacterium partial 16S ribosomal RNA
Rfam family: Bacterial small subunit ribosomal RNA
Source: RNAcentral